This 72-nucleotide transfer RNA is filed under the name Sus scrofa (pig). It matches the Rfam family "tRNA". Rfam says of the family: Transfer RNA (tRNA) molecules are approximately 80 nucleotides in length. Their secondary structure includes four short double-helical elements and three loops (D, anti-codon, and T loops). The record is from Rfam by way of RNAcentral. Lineage: Eukaryota; Metazoa; Chordata; Mammalia; Artiodactyla; Suidae.
UCCCUGGUGGUUUAAGUGUUAGGACUCAGCAUUUUCACUGCUGCAGCCCGGGUUCAAUCCCUGGUCUAGGAA